This 394-nucleotide ribosomal RNA is filed under the name Klebsiella pneumoniae. RNAcentral's name for it is "bacterial SSU rRNA". It matches the Rfam family "Bacterial small subunit ribosomal RNA", at positions 900 to 1298 of the family's 1533-position model. The record is from RNAcentral. Lineage: Bacteria; Pseudomonadati; Pseudomonadota; Gammaproteobacteria; Enterobacterales; Enterobacteriaceae.
CUCAAAUGAAUUGACGGGGGCCCGCACAAGCGGUGGAGCAUGUGGUUUAAUUCGAUGCAACGCGAAGAACCUUACCUGGUCUUGACAUCCACAGAACUUUCCAGAGAUGGAUUGGUGCCUUCGGGAACUGUGAGACAGGUGCUGCAUGGCUGUCGUCAGCUCGUGUUGUGAAAUGUUGGGUUAAGUCCCGCAACGAGCGCAACCCUUAUCCUUUGUUGCCAGCGGUUAGGCCGGGAACUCAAAGGAGACUGCCAGUGAUAAACUGGAGGAAGGUGGGAUGACGUCAAGUCAUCAUGCCUUACGACCAGGCUACACACGUGCUACAAUGGCAUAUACAAAGAGAAGCGACCUCGCGAGAGCAAGCGGACCUCAUAAAGUAUGUCGUAGUCCGGAU